This is a long non-coding RNA of Rhipicephalus sanguineus (brown dog tick), 271 nucleotides long. RefSeq lists it as uncharacterized. The transcript has 2 exons. The record is from RefSeq and is a predicted model, not a curated record. NCBI's taxonomy places the organism in Eukaryota, Metazoa, Arthropoda, Arachnida, Ixodida, Ixodidae.
CACACUUGUUGCUGUUGAACAAGAUAAAUCACGCGGAAGGAAGACAUGUCAGUGUGCCUGCAUCCUCAUUGAUACCAUCCGCUAGAGUGUUAAACUUGAAUAUCAGGUAUGAUUCCCGGAGCUCGCGGUCAUGAUUUGAGCGAAAACCAGAUUCAAGAAUGGUUGCUUUCAUUUGGUCGAAAGAGUGGCCUGGCAUGCGAACAUGUCGUGAUAACGGUAGAUGAGGGAAAGUAUGUACAUGCGAUUUGUGGUUAUUAAAGCGUAUUCUGAA